Long non-coding RNA from Bubalus bubalis (water buffalo), 1617 nucleotides. RefSeq lists it as uncharacterized. The transcript is spliced from 2 exons. Lineage: Eukaryota; Metazoa; Chordata; Mammalia; Artiodactyla; Bovidae. The record is from RefSeq and is a predicted model, not a curated record.
GGCAAGAAUACAAGAGUGGGCUGCCAUUCCCUUCUCCAGGGGAUCUUUCUGACCCAGGGAUUGAACCUGGGUCUCCUGCAUUGCAGGUGAAUUCUUUACCAUAUUGUUUUCCAUCCUCUGGGAUCUUUGCUCAGGACACUGCCCCCUACUUGGAAUGCUCUCCCUUUCCUCAUUUCUACUUAGUAGUAAAUUACUUUUUGUGUCUCAUCUCCUUUAAUGACCUGGGGAUUUGAUGAAGGAAAAAUCCUAGUCAAUUUCAAGGAAAGAUCCUGGUCAAUUUCAUCUUUCUUUAUAUCCUCAAAGCACCGAGCACAAGUCCUGGUUCAUAGGAAACAUUCAGUAAAUGUUUGUGAAAUGACUAAAUGAAUGGCUUUUACUCAGAUACGAGAAGGCUGCACCUAAACAUAUAUUUUCAGGACCUAGGAAAAAUCUCUUCUUUUUAAAGCUAUUUAAAUAACUAUUGGUUUCUCUACUGCAUUUUAAAUAACACUAAUUUUGGUGCUUGCCCAUAGGCAGUGCUGUAAAGUCUAGCUUUCUUUUUUUACAAUCAGUAACACUGAAAAAAUUAAACCCAGAGCAUGCACAUGUGUGCUAACACCAUUCGCUGGUCUCCAAAAUGUUCAGACAAGGCUCAGGCAGCCUCCACCUCCUGCUCCUUCUGAGCAAAAUUCAGCUGAAGACUGUCUGGGUUUGUUGGGAAUGGGGGAGCUUCUGGUGGUUAAUUGAAAUCCACAGACACCUCCAAGACCUUGUUACACUUAACAGUGUUGACCUUCUCUCCUGACCAGGUGUUAAUAAGUAGGAAAUAGAAGAUACUGAAGUUUGGCUCACUCUCUUCUGCCUUAACUCCAGCCAACCAAUAGUGGAAACUCAAGAAUACUCAAAAGGCACAGGAAGAUUUAACAAAAGCUCCCCACCACCUACUUCCCACCACUGCCAGCUCCUGACUCACAAUAAUCUUCCAAAAUGAUUUGCUGUCUUAAGAAAGUCCUCCUGGAGAAAUCGUGUUGCCUGAUGGUAAAUGUGCAGACACUGGAAGCAAGCAGACUUGAGGUGUUCACUGCCAGCCAAGCCGCACACGCCCCAGUGGCUCUCACUCACUCGGGGCCCUGCAGAGGCAUGUGUCCUUUGGAGACAGAUGGUGAGGAUUUGAGUUCCGGCUCCAUCUGCGAUAUCCAAUCUUUCCAGCUUGCCCUGAACUGUCCCAGUUUUAGCACUGAAAGUGCCACAUCCCAGGGAACCUUUCAAGCCCAGGCGAAGCAUGACAUUUGGUCAUCCUCACUCAACUCCUUCGUGGGCACUGGUUCUGACUAACCGUGCCUCUCCAUACCUCCUUUCUGCAACUGUCCUUGGUGAUUGGACAGCAGAAAGUGAGUUCCUGGAGCAUCAUGUCCCAGAAACGCAAUCAGCUCUCAGGGUCCCUCUAACCCUGAGCUCACACAAGGCAGAGCUGCCCUUGAGAAUCUGUGAUCUCAGGGUCACCUCUUUCCUUCUGGGGUGAGGGAGCUUUGACAUGACCACAUUAGGCUGAGUGCUUCAAUGACACCCUCCCCCGUGUUUCUGAGUCCCCCUUUGAAAUCUUGACUCUCCCCAAGCCAAAAUGAACCCGAGGACAAA